This is a non-coding RNA of Acanthosepion pharaonis, 107 nucleotides long. Lineage: Eukaryota; Metazoa; Mollusca; Cephalopoda; Sepiida; Sepiidae. The record is from the annotation of a GenBank genome assembly.
CCACAUCGCGUUGAAACACUGGUUCCCAUACAAUCACUGAAGUUAAGUAAGGUUGAUCCUGGUCAGUACCUGGAUGGGUAACUGCUUGGGAAUAACAGAUGCUGUAA